GCAUAAGAAGUGGUACCAUUAUUUUCGUCUAGUUUUGACUCACUGAUAUCCUGGUUAUUAUCACUUUCUUUUCCCACAGCGGAGAACAACAAGGUGUUUUUGGAAGAUAAAAUAUUGGUGAGUUCAGCAGCUUUCAAGAUCAGCUGAUGUCAUUAUAGGUGAAACUGGAGUCCUCCAAAGAAGCUAUUCAAAAUUAUGAGCAAAGGCUAACAGUACUCAGAAAGGAGAAAGAAGAUAUUGAAAAAUCUUUCAGAGAGGAACAGCUUCGUGAUGCAUAGUUGUUGGAAGAAAAAAUUACUGAGGUCAGAAAGCAAUUUAUAGAUCAGAUACCGAAAUAUUCAAUGCGAAGAUGGAAGACUUGGAUCUCGGUUUGAGGUUGAAGGAAGACGAUAUAAAACAUUUGAGGAUAUCAGAAAAAAAUUACAAAAAGAGAAGGAUGAUCCUUUGGACAGUGGGAGGAAUUUUUCUUGCAAAUUAGACAAAGCAUUUCAAGAGAUAAAG
Impatiens glandulifera is the source of this 501-nucleotide long non-coding RNA. RefSeq lists it as uncharacterized. Lineage: Eukaryota; Viridiplantae; Streptophyta; Magnoliopsida; Ericales; Balsaminaceae. The transcript has 3 exons. The record is from RefSeq and is a predicted model, not a curated record.